CCUACGGGAGGCAGCAGUGAGGAAUAUUGGUCAAUGGCCGCGAGGCUGAACCAGCCAAGUAGCGUGAAGGAUGACUGCCCUACGGGUUGUAAACUUCUUUUAUAAAGGAAUAAAGUGAGGCACGUGUGCCUUUUUGUAUGUACUUUAUGAAUAAGCAUCGGCUAACUCCGUGCCAGCAGCCGCGGUAAUACGGAGGAUCCGAGCGUUAUCCGGAUUUAUUGGGUUUAAAGGGAGCGUAGAUGGGUUUUUAAGUCAGUUGUGAAAGUUUGGGGCUCAACAGUAAAAUGGCAAUUGAUACUGGCAGUCUUGAGUGCAGCUGAGGUAUGCGGAAUGCGUGGUGUAGCGGUGAAAUGCUUAGAUAUCACGAAGAACUCCGAUUGCGAAGGCAGCUUACUAAACUGCCACUGACGUUGAUGCACGAAAGUGUGGGUAUCAAACAGGAUUAGAUACCCGAGUAGUC
RNAcentral lists this ribosomal RNA (460 nucleotides) under uncultured bacterium. RNAcentral describes it as "partial 16S ribosomal RNA". It matches the Rfam family "Bacterial small subunit ribosomal RNA", at positions 338 to 795 of the family's 1533-position model. The record is from RNAcentral.